Molecule: ribosomal RNA, 233 nt
Filed under: uncultured bacterium
Lineage: Bacteria
Description: partial 16S ribosomal RNA
Rfam family: Bacterial small subunit ribosomal RNA
Source: RNAcentral
GACGAACGCUGGCGGCGUGCUUAACACAUGCAAGUCGAGCGGUAAGGCCCUUUCGGGGGUACGACGAGCGGCGAACGGGUGAGUAACACGUGGGUGACCUGCCCUCAGCUCUGGGAUAAGCCUGGGAAACUGGGUCUAAUACUGGAUAUGACUCCACGGUGCAUGUCGUGGGGUGGAAAGCCUUGUGCGGCUGAGGAUGGGCCCGCGGCCUAUCAGCUUGUUGGUGGGGGGAU